Molecule: ribosomal RNA, 468 nt
Filed under: uncultured bacterium
Lineage: Bacteria
Description: partial 16S ribosomal RNA
Rfam family: Bacterial small subunit ribosomal RNA
Source: RNAcentral
GACGAACGCUGGCGGCGUGCUUAACACAUGCAAGUCGAACGGAAAGGCCCUGCAUUUGUGGGGUGCUCGAGUGGCGAACGGGUGAGUAACAAGUGAGUAACCUGCCCUUGACUUUGGGAUAACUUCAGGAAACUGGGGCUAAUAACGGCUAGGAGCUCCUGCUGCAUGGUGGGGGUUGGAAAGUUUCGGCGGUUGGGGAUGGACUCGCGGCUUAUCAGCUUGUUGGUGGGGUAGUGGCUUACCAAGGCUUUGACGGGUAGCCGGCCUGAGAGGGUGACCGGGCACAUGGGGACUGAGAUACGGACCAGACUCCUACGGGAGGCAGCAGUGGGGAAUAUUGUACAAUGGGCGGAAGCCUGAUGCAGCAACGCCGCGUGCGGGAUGACGGCCUUCGGGGUGUAAACCGCUUUCGCCUGUGACGAAGCGUGAGUGACGGUAAUGGGUAAAGAAGCACCGGCUAACUACGUG